GGGCCCGCACAAGCGGUGGAGCAUGUGGUUUAAUUCGACGCAACGCGCAGAACCUUACCAGGACUUGACAUGGAAGUGACCGGACGAGAGAUCGUUCUUCUCCCGCAAGGGAGCACUUCACACAGGUGCUGCAUGGCUGUCGUCAGCUCGUGUCGUGAGAUGUUGGGUUAAGUCCCGCAACGAGCGCAACCCUCGUUUCUAGUUGCCAUCAUUCAGUUGGGCACUCUAGAGAGACUGCCGCGAAUAACGCGGAGGAAGGUGGGGACGACGUCAAGUCAUCAUGGCCCUUACGUCCUGGGCUACACACGUGCUACAAUGGGCGUUACAGAGGGUCGCAAUAGCGUAAGCUGGAGCCAAUCCCCAAAAACGUCCUCAGUUCAGAUCGAGGUCUGCAACCCGACCUCGUGAAGGUGGAAUCGCUAGUAAUCGCGGAUCAGAACGCCGCGGUGAAUACGUUCCCGGGCCUUGUACACACCGCCCGUCAAGCCACGAAAGGAGAGA
This 501-nucleotide ribosomal RNA is filed under the name uncultured bacterium. Its description in RNAcentral is "bacterial SSU rRNA". It matches the Rfam family "Bacterial small subunit ribosomal RNA", at positions 917 to 1416 of the family's 1533-position model. The record is from RNAcentral.